UGUGUGUGUGUGUGUGUGUGUGUGUGUGGUGUGGUGUGUGUGUAGAGAUUCUAGAGUCUAGCAAUCAGACUUCUGAUUCAGUUGAUAUCACUGUGAAGUACUUCUAAUUUCUUUGUUUUUCUAUGUGUACGGUCUGAGUCUUUCUCUGUAGCCACCUUCAUCCUGAAAACCCUUUUUUUGUAGGCUGAGCAAUAUGAAAUAUUGUCAAAAAGUAUUGUCCACCAGCAUUCAUGAAAUGUAUACGUCACAUUGAAUCAUUUUUUUAAUAGGAUGCAUAAUAAUUACUUACUUCACAUCUAGUAAAGAAACAUGACUUGAUUCAAAGUUUCCAACUACAAACCCAGACCAGCAUCAUAAACCAGCAUUACUGAACUAUUCACCAAAUGUGUAAUGACUACUCCCCUGUAAGUAAUAAAUGUACUUGGAUGACCACUCACAAGAACAAAACCAUAAAUCUUCAUCUCCCUUUUUCUGUCCGGCGGCCAAAACACACAGGGCUUUUGAAUUUGGGACCAAACAUAACAUUCCUGUUGUUUAGUAGUGUAGGUGUUAAGCUAAAGUGUUCUAGCAAUAUCUGUGUGGUAGUUUAGGUGUGUUGUAUGGUUGAGAAACACCAUGGAUUCAGCAGUGGGGUUUUGUAGACAAAUGGUAUAUUCCCCAAAAGCUCCUUGGAUGAACUCAUUUGAUUGAUUUUCUGACAGAAAGUCAUUUUUCUUUUCCUCCACAGCUUGUCUCCUCAUCUCUCCAUGUGUUGGUUUGACUUGCUUCUCGAUCCGAGUGGCUUAGCCACCGACUCGAUAUGCUAACACCACUCAGACAAUCUGUUGAAGUUUAGACAUCGUUUAUGAAAUCAUGCUGCAUGUACCACAUUUAUAAAAUGUUUUAUGUUUAUUAUAUAAAUGUUUUAUAAAAUGUUUAGAAAACAUCAGGAAGUCAUGUUUACAUUGAUUGGUGAAAACAAUGCUGGUAUACAAAACUACUUGAUAGCCUUCCUAAAAGUGCAAAUAUGUUCAAGAUGAAACGUGCUUGUCUUUCACACUUAGUUUGCAGGAUAUUAUUCGGUUCUUUGUGCAGGUUAAACUGAGUUUGCUGUGAUGGGCAGACAACAUGCUCCUCUUUAUUCUGAUGUUAUAUUUUCAUGAGAAAAGUGCUAAUAGGAAUCCUUUUUCAUUCAACUGGUGACAUUAGGGCUUGCUAAAAUAGCUGUAACGAAGUGAAAGUUGACUUUUAUUGAAAAGAAAAAUUGCUCAAUUACAUUAUUUGUGUUGUAUAGAGAAUGUUGACUGUAGGAGAUUUACUUACGAAAGGUAGAACUGCUGGUUACCCCUUUAAAUGUAGUUGGCCCAAAUAAACCAACAAGGCUAUUAUUUUUAAAGAUUGAAUUUGGAUGGAUUUUAAAUAGUUUUCCUUCGAUUGGAGAUUGUGUAAACAAGAUGUCACUCCAUGAACAGGGCCCGUUUCCUAGUAUUCAAUAUAAUGGCAUAUGACAGUAGAGUGUAUUUUCCUCUGUAAUUGGUUUUGAUAUGUUUUGAUGUGCAAAUCGUAUUAAAUAAACAGGUCUGAUUGUA
This is a long non-coding RNA of Osmerus eperlanus (European smelt), 1568 nucleotides long. RefSeq lists it as uncharacterized. Lineage: Eukaryota; Metazoa; Chordata; Actinopteri; Osmeriformes; Osmeridae. The record is from RefSeq and is a predicted model, not a curated record. The transcript has 2 exons.